GCGGCGCAUUAGCUAGUUGGUGAGGUAACGGCUCACCAAGGCGACGAUGCGUAGCCGACCUGAGAGGGUGAUCGGCCACACUGGGACUGAGACACGGCCCAGACUCCUACGGGAGGCAGCAGUAGGGAAUNUUCCGCAAUGGACGAAAGUCUGACGGAGCAACGCCGCGUGAGUGAUGAAGGUUUUCGGAUCGUAAAACUCUGUUGUUAGGGAAGAACAAGUACCGUUCGAAUAGGGCGGUACCUUGACGGUACCUAACCAGAAAGCCACGGCUAACUACGUGCCAGCAGCCGCGGUAAUACGUAGGUGGCAAGCGUUGUCCGGAAUUAUUGGGCGUAAAGCGCGCGCAGGCGGUUUCUUAAGUCUGAUGUGAAAGCCCCCGGCUCAACCGGGGA
RNAcentral lists this ribosomal RNA (395 nucleotides) under uncultured bacterium. Its description in RNAcentral is "bacterial SSU rRNA". It matches the Rfam family "Bacterial small subunit ribosomal RNA", at positions 233 to 619 of the family's 1533-position model. The record is from RNAcentral.